RNAcentral lists this ribosomal RNA (327 nucleotides) under uncultured eukaryote. Its description in RNAcentral is "partial 18S ribosomal RNA". It matches the Rfam family "Eukaryotic small subunit ribosomal RNA", at positions 1470 to 1796 of the family's 1831-position model. The record is from RNAcentral.
CCCUUAGAUGUUCUGGGCCGCACGCGCGCUACACUGACGAAUGCAACGAGCUUAUAACCUUGGCCGAAAGGUCUGGGUAAUCUCCAAAUUUCGUCGUGAUGGGGAUAGAUUAUUGCAAUUAUUAAUCUUCAACGAGGAAUGCCUAGUAAGCGCAAGUCAUCAGCUUGCGAUGAUUACGUCCCUGCCCUUUGUACACACCGCCCGUCGCUCCUACCGAUUGAAUGGUCCGGUGAAGCGUUCGGACCGUGGCCUUUGGACGGUUCGCCGUCUGUUGGCUGCGGGAAGUUCGUUAAACCUUAUCAUUUAGAGGAAGGAGAAGUCGUAACA